RNAcentral lists this ribosomal RNA (653 nucleotides) under Nocardia sp. YIM 64820. RNAcentral describes it as "bacterial SSU rRNA". It matches the Rfam family "Bacterial small subunit ribosomal RNA", at positions 66 to 736 of the family's 1533-position model. The record is from RNAcentral. Lineage: Bacteria; Bacillati; Actinomycetota; Actinomycetes; Mycobacteriales; Nocardiaceae.
GCGGUAAGGCCCUUCGGGGUACACCAGCGGCGAACGGGUGAGUAACACGUGGGUGAUCUGCCUUGCACUUCGGGAUAAGCCUGGGAAACUGGGUCUAAUACCGGAUAUGACCACGGAAUGCAUGUUCUGUGGUGGAAAGAUUUAUCGGUGCGAGAUGGGCCCGCGGCCUAUCAGCUUGUUGGUGAGGUAACGGCUCACCAAGGCGACGACGGGUAGCCGACCUGAGAGGGUGACCGGCCACACUGGGACUGAGACACGGCCCAGACUCCUACGGGAGGCAGCAGUGGGGAAUAUUGCACAAUGGGCGCAAGCCUGAUGCAGCGACGCCGCGUGCGGGAUGACGGCCUUCGGGUUGUAAACCGCUUUUGACAGGGACGAAGCGCAAGUGACUGUACCUGUAGAAUAAGGACCGGCCAACUACGUGCCAGCAGCCGCGGUAAUACGUAGGGUCCGAGCGUUGUCCGGAAUUACUGGGCGUAAAGAGCUUGUAGGCGGUUCGUCGCGUCGUUUGUGAAAACUUGGGGCUCAACCUUAAGCUUGCAGGCGAUACGGGCGGACUAGAGUACUUCAGGGGAGACUGGAAUUCCUGGUGUAGCGGUGAAAUGCGCAGAUAUCAGGAGGAACACCGGUGGCGAAGGCGGGUCUCUGGGAAG